Molecule: small RNA, 28 nt
Filed under: Bombyx mori (domestic silkworm)
Lineage: Eukaryota; Metazoa; Arthropoda; Insecta; Lepidoptera; Bombycidae
Description: ovarian small RNA-7757
Source: RNAcentral
UCUCUAUGUUACAUUUCGGUGCAAGAGC